Molecule: ribosomal RNA, 432 nt
Filed under: Salmonella enterica subsp. enterica serovar Oranienburg
Lineage: Bacteria; Pseudomonadati; Pseudomonadota; Gammaproteobacteria; Enterobacterales; Enterobacteriaceae
Description: partial 23S ribosomal RNA
Rfam family: Bacterial large subunit ribosomal RNA
Source: RNAcentral
GGGUUGUGAGGUUAAGCGACUAAGCGUACACGGUGGAUGCCCUGGCAGUCAGAGGCGAUGAAGGACGUGCUAAUCUGCGAUAAGCGCCGGUAAGGUGAUAUGAACCGUUAUAACCGGCGAUUUCCGAAUGGGGAAACCCAGUGUGACUCGUCACACUAUCAUUAACUGAAUCCAUAGGUUAAUGAGGCGAACCGGGGGAACUGAAACAUCUAAGUACCCCGAGGAAAAGAAAUCAACCGAGAUUCCCCCAGUAGCGGCGAGCGAACGGGGAGGAGCCCAGAGCCUGAAUCAGCAUGUGUGUUAGUGGAAGCGUCUGGAAAGGCGCGCGAUACAGGGUGACAGCCCCGUACACAAAAGCGCAUGUGCUGUGAGCUCGAUGAGUAGGGCGGGACACGUGGUAUCCUGUCUGAAUAUGGGGGGACCAUCCUCCAA